Molecule: non-coding RNA, 104 nt
Organism: Sporisorium reilianum f. sp. reilianum
Lineage: Eukaryota; Fungi; Basidiomycota; Ustilaginomycetes; Ustilaginales; Ustilaginaceae
Source: the annotation of a GenBank genome assembly
GCCGGAUUGGCCAAGCGGUAAGGCAUCCAACUUGUAUACAGGCACUUUAGCAGUGUCCGAAUGCUGAAAUUGGGAGAUCACUCGUUCGAACCGGGUAUUCGGCA